UGGGGAAUAUUGCGCAAUGGGGGGAACCCUGACGCAGCCAUGCCGCGUGAAUGAAGAAGGCCUUCGGGUUGUAAAGUUCUUUCGGUAUUGAGGAAGGUUGAUGUGUUAAUAGCACAUCAAAUUGACGUUAAAUACAGAAGAAGCACCUGCUAACUCCGUGCCAGCAGCCGCGGUAAUACGGAGGGUGCGAGCGUUAAUCGGAAUAACUGGGCGUAAAGGGCACGCAGGCGGUUAUUUAAGUGAGGUGUGAAAGCCCCGGGCUUAACCUGGGAAUUGCAUUUCAGACUGGGUAACUAGAGUACUUUAGGGAGGGGUAGAAUUCCACGUGUAGCGGUGAAAUGCGUAGAGAUGUGGAGGAAUACCGAAGGCGAAGGCAGCCCCUUGGGAAUGUACUGACGCUCAUGUGCGAAAGCGUGGGGAGCAAACAGGAUUAGAUACCCUGGUAGUCCACGCUGUAAACGCUGUCGAUUUGGGGGUUGGGGUUUAACUCUGGCGCCCGUAGCUAACGUGAUAAAUCGACCGCCUGGGGAGUACGGCCGCAAGGUUA
This 547-nucleotide ribosomal RNA is filed under the name uncultured bacterium. RNAcentral's name for it is "bacterial SSU rRNA". It matches the Rfam family "Bacterial small subunit ribosomal RNA", at positions 355 to 896 of the family's 1533-position model. The record is from RNAcentral.